AGCGGACCUCCCCCGCGGCGCGCUCCCGUGGCCUCGGCGCGCGCAGCCCCUCGGAAGGCGGCCGGGCUCGGUGUGCGGAGGGUGUGGGGCCUUGGGUCCCAAGAUCGCGCGCUUCCUGCGCUGGGGAAGCUGCGCGGGGCCGCGCCUGCUCCGCACAGCCGGCGCUGGGACGCGAGCGCUCUGGCGGGUUCGCAGAGACCCUACUCACAUGUGCAUGACCUAACUUUAAGAGAGGAUGGGAAAUAUAGUCUUCCUAUGUGAACAAAAACUAUAGAUGAAAUGAGGUUCAUUAAGCAUUUGGCAUCACUUCCACCACAAACACCAGCCUCCAGGGCAGAGUAACAGAGAGAGAGAGAGAGAUGUCUUCCAUUUGCUGGUUCACUCCCCCAAAGACCCACAAUGGCUGGGACUAGGCCAGGCUUAAGCCAGAAGCCAAGAACUCCAUCUGGGUCUCCCAGCGGAGUGCCUGCUGCCUCCAAGGAUGCACAUCUUCAAGAAGCUGGAUCAGAAGCAAAGAGAGCAUCUAAUGGGACAAUUGUAGGAUGGAUGGAUCCAGGUUCUUAUACCCAAUACAAGAAAGAAUUCAAGGAUGAGAAUUGGUAAAGUUACUCCACAUCUGAUCCAGCGUCCUACUGAUGUGCACCCUGGGAGGCCAGCAGAUGAUGACUCAAGUAUUGGGGCUCUGCCAUCCAUAUGGGAGGUCUGGCUUUGGCCUGGUCAUCCCUGGCUGCUGCAGGCAUUUGGGGAGUGAAUCAGUGGAUGAUGUCGUCUCCUCGGACUGGCCAAGUUUUACCUGCUGAAGUUUCCUGUGCAACCAAGGGGUGAGCAGUUGGCAAUGUCCAGCCAGCCAGCUGCUGUGAAGUGAUACUCCUGAAGGAAAUCCUGGAUGGGUCCUGCAAGGGAGUCACAAGCUGCAGUGAGGAUUAACCCAGGCUGUUUAUCAGCAGCCUCAGCUGCUCAUCCACUCUCUGCUGGGCAGCUGAGCAAGGACUCCAGGACUGCCACUCCCCACUGCCCAGAAUGGCCAGAGGAACAGGGGGGAUUCCCAAUCAGUACAUGCCCUCUUUCCCAGAAAAGGGAUUAAGUGUGCCCUGACAAGGUUGACUCUUCCAUAAUUUUUUUCUUAGGAAGUGAGGUAGGUGAGAAAAUAAACCUGAACAUUCAUUCCCAUUCCCUUGAAAAAAAUCCUUUCAAACUGCUGUUUCAUUCGACCAUCAAACGUAGUAUCCAAGCAAUCUACUGGCAUCAAAUGUGCCCAUGUUCUUGGUAAAAUGAGGAUAAUAAUGCCAACUCAGAGGGUUAAGUGAACAUGAAAUCACAUGUGAAAGCACUUACCAAAUUGUCUGGCGUGUGGUAAGAACACAACACAAACUAGCUUUCCCUUUUUCCUGAUUAUUAUGUACAGUGAUUUUUGCAUAGUGUGAGGAAAACAAGUUCAUAAGUCUCUAUAAGAAUUACAUUGUAGGUGGUCAAAACCUGACUGCACUAAAGUAGGAAGAAAAGAAAAAUCCCUGCAUUUAUUGGUUCAUGGAUCUAAUAGGCAUGGCUUAAUCUACAGGUCCAAAUGAAAUUUUCAGAGCCAUCUUUCUCUUUAUCUCUUGGUUGGCUUUGUUUGACUCUGAUUAUUUUCACUUGACCUUGAUUCUCUCUUGCCACAGAUAGGAUCUCACCAAGUUGGAAGGAAGAUGACCGUGGGAAUCAUGGUUCAAAUGGGAAAGGCACACACUUUCUUCCAGUGUCCAGUAUUAAAUGUCAUGGCAGAAUUUUAGCCUCUCAUGGAUUAUAUGCCCAUCCUUUGGACAGAUUGUCAAUGAACCAUGACCUAGGCCAAAUCCAGCCAACCUCCUAGUUUUGGACAGCACAGGAGCUGAAAAUGGUUUGUCAUUAAAAAAAAGUUUAUUUGUUUAUUUCAAAGGCAGGUAGACGGACACACACACACACACACACACACACACAUAGAUGAAGAGAAAGAGAGAUUUCAUCUGUUGCUUCACUCCCCAAAUGCCCACAACAGCCAUGAUUGAGCCAGAUCAAUGCCAGGAGCCAGGAAUACACUGUGAGUUUCUUAUGUGAGUGGUAGGGUCCCAGAUACUUGCACCAUCAUCUGCUGCCUUCCAGGAUCUGCAGUAGCAGGAAACUAGAAUGAGGAGUGGACCCAGGCACUUAAAACUAGGACUUGAAACCAGGCACUUGAAAUUAGGAGCAGAGCUGGGACUUGAACCCAGCAUUUUAACAGCUAUGACAAAUGUCUGCCCCAGGUUUUGUCAUUUUUAAAAAUCAAAAUGAUUUGGUGUAUUUUAUAAUCCCUAAAAUUAUAUUAAAUUCAAAUUUCAAUAUCUAUAAAUUUCAGUUUUAUUCAAACACAACUAUACUCAUUUGUUUAUGUAUGACUGCUUCUCUAUUAAAAUAGCAGCCUUAAGUAGUGGUAAUAGAGACUGCAUAGCCCCCAAAGCCUAAAACAAUUGCUAUCCACUCUUUAUAGAAAAAUUUUGCCAACCUUGGCCCAAUCCAGUCAUGGUAAACAAGAAGACAGGACACUCUGGCCAGAUCUGACACAUGUGCCUAUCCCUGUAACUGGGAGAGCGGUAGGAGAAAAAGAAUAUUUUAUAUGUGUUGAGCACUUACUAUGUAGUGUGCAGUACUGUAAGCAUUUCAUUUGUAUUAUUUGAUAGAGUUAGAGAGGGAGAGACAGAGAAUGAGAGUGUGAGUGACAGUGAAAGAGAGAGAGAUCUUCCAACCAUUGGUUCAUUCCCCAAGUGGCCAAAACUGCCAGUGCUGAGCCAGGCCAAAGCCAGGCGCCAAGAGCUUCUUCCAGGUCUCCCAUGGAUGCAGGAACCCAAGCAUUUGGGUCAUCUUCUGCUACUUUCCCACACUUAUUAGCCAGGAACUGGAUCAGAAGUGGAGCAGCCAGGACACCAACUGUCACCUAUAUGGGUUGCCGGCACCACAGGCAGCUUAGCCUACUAUGCCACGGAGUUAGUUCUUAACUUCAUUUGUAUUAACAUGUUUAAUCUUUGCAAGAAUCUAAAUGGGAAAAAUUUUUAUCAUCCCUAUUGGUAAGUGAAUUAACUAAGGCAAGGAAAGAUUAAGGAAUCUCCUGAAAGUUACACAGCCAGUAAGUAAUAGAGUUGAGAUUUGAACCAGACCAUUUAGCUCCAGAGUUCAUUCUUGACCCCUACAGGGUCUUUUCUAGCAAAACAAAGUGGGAUGGAGGCAAGUAGGAUGGUUUCUCGGGGUAAAGGGGGUGCUAGGUAAAAGAAAUAACAAAUAGGGGCCAGUGCUGUGGCAAAGUAGGCUAAGUCUCCACCUGCAGAGCCAGCAUCCCAUAUGGACUCCACUUUGUCUCCUGGCUGCUCCUCUUCCAGUUCAGCUCCCUGCUAACAGCCUGGGAAAGCAGAUGAAAAUGGUCAAAGUGCUUGGGUCCUUGCACCUGCAUGGAGAACAUGGAACAAGCUCCUAGCCCCUGGCUUUGGAUCAGCCCAACUCCAGCCAUUGUAGCUAUUUGGGGAGUGAACCAGUGGAUUUCUCUCUCUCUCGCUCUCUCUCUCCCUCCCUUCCUCCCUCCCUCUCUGUCUGUAACACUACCUCUCAAAUAAAUAAAUAAUCUUUAAAAAGUGAGAGAAAUAACAGAUAUCCAUAGCAGUGUCAGACCAAUAAGCAUUCAAAAGUCUUUUAUCUCGUAGAACCUCAGUUUUUUUCAUCUAAUAUGAAAUAGAUAAGAUCUGAAAAGUGCCCUCUGGGGUGGUGUAGUGAUUUUGGCUAACAUUGCUUGAGCACAUACUCUAGGCUAAUACUCAGUAUUUUAUGUGUGUUGUCUCACUGAGGCAACAUCCGGGUCCUGAUGAGAAGCCAGGCCUGUCUGCAGCUCCCAGGGACAUAACAAUUUUACAGCGCUGCCUCCCAUCAGAAAGGAAGAGGGGAGAUAUCAAAUGGACUUGUUGGCCGUAUCUUUUAAGUAAACAUUUUAAAAAAUUAAAUUUAAUUUUAAAAAACUAAACUCCCAUUAGGAGCAGGAUUUACCCUAUCAGUUAAGAGGCCAACAUCCCACAUCAAAGUGCAUGAGUUGGAGACCCAACUCUAGGUCCUGACUCCAGUUUCCUGCAAGUGCAGACUUUAUGAGACAGUAGUGAUGAUUCAGGUACUUGGGUUCCUACAUUCCUGGCUCCCAGCUUCCAGCCCUAGCCACUGUGGACAUUUGGGGAGUAAACCAGCAGAAAAGAGCGCUCUCUCUCCUCUCUCUCUCUCUCUCUCUCUCUCUGAGUCUAAACAAACAAACAGACAAAACCAAAAACCUUUUAAUCAAUUUUGCUGUCAAAAAGGCAGAGCUAAAAUGGCAAAGGCUCAAGGAAGGGCAGUGGAAAUAAUUUGCAGGAUAUCUGACAGAAGAGCAUGCCCUGUAAAGAAAAAUUCCCAACCUUGGGAUCAUUUCAUUUGGGAAGGAAAGCUCCUAGAGGCACAAUGUUUACCAUAUAAUAAACUGAUGACAGGUAUAGGAAAGGCUAAUCAGAACCUGGUAUUUACUUUCCCCCCAAAAUACAAGAACCAGGCUGUUGAAUGCAUUGUAUAAUAGCCGUGUCACCUUCCACUUUGGAACACUAUCAAAGUGAGCUUUACCCUCCCUUCCUACUGACUAUGCUGCCAAACCACACCUCCAGUCCCAAUCAGUACACUACAUUCUACACGUACUAUUCAGAAUCUGGAGGUUUCUAGCUGGAGGGUGUGUUGGGGCCUUUCAGUCCAGCCCUUUGUGUUACAGAUGACACUUGAAACCUAGUGAGAUGAAAUGAUUUGUCCACAUGUAUGUGGUGAGCUCAUAGCAUGUCUAGACUCCCCUGAUCUGAGGAUCGGAUGAACUGGAUUAGGGUCCUGGCUAACUAAAUGACCUUUCUGAGACUCAGUAGCCCCAUUUUUAAUACGGUUGGAAAGUUAAACAAUGUUUACAAACACACUUAGUGAACGUUAAGUAUUGCACUUCAGAGUUUUUUCCUUUAAGUCAUUUUGCUCCUUAGAAUAGUUUGCUGUACACUAGUCAUCAGGGAAAUACAAAUCAAAACCACAAUGAGAUAUCACCUCACCCCUGUCAGAAUGACUAUUAUUCAAAAGACAGAGAGAACAAAUUGCUGGCAAGGAUGUGGAGAAAGGGAGACUCUUAUACUCUGCUCGUUGGAAUGCAAAUUAGUGCAGCCACUGCAGAAAACAGAAUGGAGAUUGAUUUAAAUUUUUUUCUCUAAUUUUAUUUAGGGUAUAUAAAGUUCAUGUAUUUUGGAGAUUUCUUUUUCAUUUUUUUUUUGAAAGAUUUAUUUAUUUAUUUGAAAGGCAGAGUUACAAAGAGGCAGAGGCAGAGAGAAAGAGAAGUCUUCCAUCCUACUGUUUCACUCCCCAAAUGGCUGCAAUGGCCGGAGCUGGGCCAAUUAGAAGCCAGGAGCCAGGAGCUUCCUCAGGGUCUCCCACACGGCUGCAGGGGCCCAAGGACUUGGGCCAUCUUCUACUGCUUUCCCAGGCCAGAGCAGAGAAUUGGAUCAGAAGAGGAGCAGCUGGGACUCGAACCAGCACUGUUUAUUGGAAUGCAUACACAAAUAAAUAUUUUCAAAUAUUCCAACAAGCAGAGUGUAAGAGUCUCCCUUUCUCCACAUCCUUGCCAGCAAUUUGUUCUCUCUGUCUUUUGAAUAAUAGUCAUUCUGACAGGGGUGAGGUGAUAUCUCAUUGUGGUUUUGAUUUGUAUUUCCCUGAUGGCUAGUGUACAGCAAACUAUUGUAAGUCACUGUUUGCAGUGCCAGCAUCCCAUGUGGGCACUGAGUUUGAGUCCUGGCUGCUCUACUUCCGAUCCAGCUCUCUGGAGCUCGGGCCAUUGGGGCCAUCUGGGGAGUGAACCAGUGGAUGGAAGACCUCUCUCUCUCUCUCUCCCUCCCCCUCUGCCUCUCUCUAACGCUGCCUUUCAGAUAAAUAAAUCUGUGUGGGAGAUUGGUUAUGGGGGAAAAAUGCUA
Molecule: non-coding RNA, 5984 nt
Organism: Oryctolagus cuniculus (rabbit)
Lineage: Eukaryota; Metazoa; Chordata; Mammalia; Lagomorpha; Leporidae
Source: RefSeq, a predicted model, not a curated record